GUAAAAGUCGUAACAAGGUUUCCGUAGGUGAACCUGCGGAAGGAUCAUUAUCGUACAAAAUGUGUCAGGGCAUGCGAAGGGCUGUCGCCGACUCAAGGUCGUGCACGCCUGGAGCAUGUCCUCUCACAUAAUAAUCCACCUCACCCUUUGUGCACCACCGCGUGGGCACCCUUUGGGAUCAGACCGAUCUCGGAGAGGGCUCACGUUUUCACACAAACCCCCUUCUUAAAAGUGUAGAAUGUCCUCAUUUAUGUGAUCAAUACAACUUUCAACAACGGAUCUCUUGGCUCUCGCAUCGAUGAAGAACGCAGCGAAAUGCGAUACGUAAUGUGAAUUGCAGAAUUCAGUGAAUCAUCGAAUCUUUGAACGCACCUUGCGCCCCUUGGUAUUCCGAGGGGCACACCCGUUUGAGUGUCGUGAAAAUCUCAACCUCUUUGAUUUCUUCUGGAGAUGAAAGGAGGCUUGGAUCUUGGAGGCCUUUGCUGGCAUCUUCUCUUUGGAAGUCCAGCUCCUCUAAAAUGAAUUAGCGGGGUCCUCUUUGCCAACCCUUGACGCGUGAUAAGAUGUUUCCGUGUCUUGGCUUCUGGCUCUGUCACUUUUGGGACCUGCUUCUAACCGUCUUGACCCCCACAUCAAGACAAUGUUUGAGCUCGUCUCCCUUCUCGGGAAACGUCCUCGACCCCACGAACCCUUGGCCUCAAAUCGGGUGAGACUACCCGCUGAACUUAAG
This 730-nucleotide ribosomal RNA is filed under the name Lactarius politus. RNAcentral's name for it is "eukaryotic LSU rRNA". The stretch from base 264 to 417 matches the Rfam family "5.8S ribosomal RNA". Lineage: Eukaryota; Fungi; Basidiomycota; Agaricomycetes; Russulales; Russulaceae. The record is from RNAcentral.